ACCGCCUAAGAUGAAACAGUACAAAAAUCAAUCUUAUUUCAUUAUUAAAGCUGUGUAUUGUUGAUUAAUGAAUAUGAAAAGUUGUUACCUGUUUUGGGAGGUUUGGGACCAGUUCCUGGGUAUUGAAUCACACCACCUGGUCCAUAACCACCUCCAUAUCCACCUGUGCCAGGACAGAUCUUUGUUUACUACGCAUAUAUUCUUGAAGAGACCCAGGAAGUGUGUAGAAAUCCCACAUGAAAGACACACAACAGAUGUGGACAAAUGAAAAUCACUGACCCCCAGGGGUGACGCCUGUUCCAGCUCCCAGACCUCCACCAGUCCCAGUGCCUCCUGCUCCAAGGGUCCCUCCACCCACUCCCCCUGCUCCAAGGCCUCCAUAUCCUGGUACAACUCCAAGUCCACCACUGCCUGGACCAAAGGUGCUGGGCCUGAACCCUCCAGGUCCAACUCCUCCUGGUCCGACACCUCCAGGUACGACUCCUCCAGGUCCGACACCACCUGGUCCAACACCUCCUGGUCCGACACCUCCUGGUCCGACACCUCCUGGUACGACUCCUCCAGGUCCGACUCCUCCUGGUCUGACACCUCCUGGUCCGACACCUCCUGGUCCUUGACCACCGUAGCCACCUGGGAAAUAGCAUGAUUAGGUCACUUUCAGUAAAUCUGAGCAGAAAACACAAGCGAUACCUACCUCCACCAGCUCCUGGUCCAAAUCCUCCUAAACCUCCGCCAGCACCUCCUGGUCCAACUCCUCCACCAGGCUGAAAUCCAGUCCCAGCU
This is a long non-coding RNA of Amphiprion ocellaris (clown anemonefish), 783 nucleotides long. RefSeq lists it as uncharacterized. NCBI's taxonomy places the organism in Eukaryota, Metazoa, Chordata, Actinopteri, Pomacentridae. The record is from RefSeq and is a predicted model, not a curated record. The transcript has 4 exons.